GACGAACGCUGGCGGCGUGCUUAACACAUGCAAGUCGAACAGAAAGGCCCUGCUUUUGUGGGGUGCUCGAGUGGCGAACGGGUGAGUAACACGUGAGUAACCUGCCCUUGACUUUGGGAUAACUUCAGGAAACUGGGGCUAAUACCGGAUAGGAGCUCCUGCUGCAUGGUGGGGGUUGGAAAGUUUCGGCGGUUGGGGAUGGACUCGCGGCUUAUCAGCUUGUUGGUGGGGUAGUGGCUUACCAAGGCUUUGACGGGUAGCCGGCCUGAGAGGGUGACCGGCCACAUUAGGACUGAGAUACGGCCCAGACUCCUACGGGAGGCAGCAGUGGGGAAUAUUGCACAAUGGGCGGAAGCCUGAUGCAGCAACGCCGCGUGCGGGAUGACGGCCUUCGGGUUGUAAACCGCUUUCGCCUGUGACGAAGCGUGAGUGACGGUAAUGGGUAAAGAAGCACCGGCUAACUACGUG
This 468-nucleotide ribosomal RNA is filed under the name uncultured bacterium. RNAcentral's name for it is "partial 16S ribosomal RNA". It matches the Rfam family "Bacterial small subunit ribosomal RNA", at positions 28 to 507 of the family's 1533-position model. The record is from RNAcentral.